RNAcentral lists this ribosomal RNA (609 nucleotides) under uncultured archaeon. RNAcentral's name for it is "bacterial SSU rRNA". It matches the Rfam family "Archaeal small subunit ribosomal RNA", at positions 1 to 617 of the family's 1478-position model. The record is from RNAcentral.
UUCAGGUUGAUCCUGCCGGACCUGACUGCUAUCUGAUUGGUACUAAGCCAUGCGAGUCGUUGUAGCAAUACAAGGCGGACUGCUCAGUAACACGUAGUUAACUUAACCUAUGGAUGGGGAUAACCUCGGGAAACUGAGAAUAAUACCCAAUGGACCACAGUGCCUGGAAUGGCCUGUGGUUGAAAUGAUUUAUCGCCGUAGGAUAGGACUGCGGCCUAUCAGCUUGUUGGUGAGGUAAUGGCCCACCAAGGCUAUAACAGGUACGGGCUCUGAGAGGAGGGGCCCGGAGAUGGGUACUGAGACACGGACCCAGGCCCUAUGGGGCGCAGCAGGCGAGAAACCUUUGCAAUGUGCGAAAGCACGACAAGGUUAAUCCGAGUGUCUCCUGCUAAAGGAGUCUUUUGUCAGUUGUAGAAUCACUGGUGAAUAAGGGGUGGGCAAGUUCUGGUGUCAGCCGCCGCGGUAAAACCAGCACCUCGAGUGGUCAGGAGGUUUAUUGGGCCUAAAGCAUCCGUAGCCGGUUGCAUAAGUUUUCGGUUAAAUCUAUGCGCUUAACGUAUAGGCCGCCGAAACUACUGUGCAGCUAGGGAGUGGGAGAGGUACCCGGUA